AAGUCGUAACAAGGUCUCCGUAGGUGAACCUGCGGAGGGAUCAUUACAGAGAACAUCGCCCUCACGGGUGACUCUCCAACCCUAUGUUAUACAACCUUUGUUGCUUUGGCGAGCCGCCUCGGCCGCUGGCUUCGGCUAGCGAGUGCUCGCCAGAGGACCCCAAACUCUGAAUAUUAAUAUCGUCUGAGUACUAUAUAAUAGUUAAAA
This 207-nucleotide unclassified non-coding RNA is filed under the name plant metagenome. Its description in RNAcentral is "partial contains small subunit ribosomal RNA and internal transcribed spacer 1". The stretch from base 1 to 46 matches the Rfam family "Eukaryotic small subunit ribosomal RNA", at positions 1786 to 1831 of the family's 1831-position model. The record is from RNAcentral.